CCUACGGGAGGCAGCAGUGGGGAAUUUUGGACAAUGGGCGCAAGCCUGAUCCAGCCAUGCCGCGUGCGGGAAGAAGGCCUUCGGGUUGUAAACCGCUUUCGGCCGGAACGAAAUCGCCCGGGUGAACAUCCCGGGUGGAUGACGGUACCGGAAGAAGAAGCACCGGCUAACUACGUGCCAGCAGCCGCGGUAAUACGUAGGGUGCGAGCGUUAAUCGGAAUUACUGGGCGUAAAGCGUGCGCAGGCGGUCUCGUAAGACAGGUGUGAAAUCCCCGGGCUCAACCUGGGAACUGCGCUUGUGACUGCGAGGCUGGAGUGUGGCAGAGGGAGAUGGAAUUCCACGUGUAGCAGUGAAAUGCGUAGAGAUGUGGAGGAACACCGAUGGCGAAGGCAGCCUCCUGGGCCAGCACUGACGCUCAUGCACGAAAGCGUGGGGAGCAAACAGGAUUAGAUACCCUGGUAGUCCACGCCCUAAACGAUGACGACUAGUUGUUGGGGUAGAAGUACCUUAGUAACGCAGCUAACGCGUGAAGUCGUCCGCCUGGGGAGUACGGUCGCAAGAUUAAAACUCAAAGGAAUUGACGG
Molecule: ribosomal RNA, 585 nt
Filed under: uncultured bacterium
Lineage: Bacteria
Description: bacterial SSU rRNA
Rfam family: Bacterial small subunit ribosomal RNA
Source: RNAcentral